This 925-nucleotide ribosomal RNA is filed under the name Microbacterium hydrocarbonoxydans. RNAcentral's name for it is "bacterial SSU rRNA". It matches the Rfam family "Bacterial small subunit ribosomal RNA", at positions 57 to 992 of the family's 1533-position model. The record is from RNAcentral. Lineage: Bacteria; Bacillati; Actinomycetota; Actinomycetes; Micrococcales; Microbacteriaceae.
GCAAGUCGAACGGUGAAGCCCAGCUUGCUGGGUGGAUCAGUGGCGAACGGGUGAGUAACACGUGAGCAACCUGCCCCUGACUCUGGGAUAAGCGCUGGAAACGGCGUCUAAUACUGGAUAUGUACCACGAUCGCAUGGUCUGUGGUUGGAAAGAUUUUUCGGUUGGGGAUGGGCUCGCGGCCUAUCAGCUUGUUGGUGAGGUAAUGGCUCACCAAGGCGUCGACGGGUAGCCGGCCUGAGAGGGUGACCGGCCACACUGGGACUGAGACACGGCCCAGACUCCUACGGGAGGCAGCAGUGGGGAAUAUUGCACAAUGGGCGCAAGCCUGAUGCAGCAACGCCGCGUGAGGGAUGACGGCCUUCGGGUUGUAAACCUCUUUUAGCAGGGAAGAAGCGAAAGUGACGGUACCUGCAGAAAAAGCGCCGGCUAACUACGUGCCAGCAGCCGCGGUAAUACGUAGGGCGCAAGCGUUAUCCGGAAUUAUUGGGCGUAAAGAGCUCGUAGGCGGUUUGUCGCGUCUGCUGUGAAAUCCGGAGGCUCAACCUCCGGCCUGCAGUGGGUACGGGCAGACUAGAGUGCGGUAGGGGAGAUUGGAAUUCCUGGUGUAGCGGUGGAAUGCGCAGAUAUCAGGAGGAACACCGAUGGCGAAGGCAGAUCUCUGGGCCGUAACUGACGCUGAGGAGCGAAAGGGUGGGGAGCAAACAGGCUUAGAUACCCUGGUAGUCCACCCCGUAAACGUUGGGAACUAGUUGUGGGGUCCAUUCCACGGAUUCCGUGACGCAGCUAACGCAUUAAGUUCCCCGCCUGGGGAGUACGGCCGCAAGGCUAAAACUCAAAGGAAUUGACGGGGACCCGCACAAGCGGCGGAGCAUGCGGAUUAAUUCGAUGCAACGCGAAGAACCUUACCAAGGCUUGACAUAUACG